ACAGUGGUGGAAAGAAGGGAGCUUAGCGUGUGAGGCUGAGCUCAGUCUUGGGGCUGACUGACUCCUGAGAAAGAGAAGGAGAUGGAGGAGGAAGAAGAGGAGGAGGAGGAUGAAAAAGAAGAGGACGAGGAGAAAGAAAGGAAAAGUGUUUAGCAGCAGAAAGGCAGCACUCACUUUCAGGGAGGUGAUCAAGGCUUUGCCCAACCAGCAGGUUGCAGAGGCUCUGUGUGAACAGACUGGACAGCUUCUUCCGUGCAAAGAGCUGUGUAGUGGAAGGAUGGUCUCCAGCCUGCAGCAUGCUGUGCCGUGAUGGGUGAGAGACCCCUCCUAGGACCUGACCUACUGCCCCAUCACCUCCUUAGCUCUCCAGUUCCCUGGCUCUGAACUCCACACCGAGCUCCACCAUUUUUGCUUCAUUUGUUUACCAACCAGGGCCUCUCUGCUUGCUCUGGGCUCUUAACAGGCAAUGGAGGAGUCUUCUAUAGCAUCCUCUGGGAUUUUCUUCGAUAAGACUUCCGAUUUUGACUGUGAGUUCCCUUAGGGAAAGAUUCAAGGCCUUGUCCAGCUCUGCAUCCGCAGAACAGGAUUUAAGUACAUCAGAUCCCCAUGGAUGGAGAAAGGGAGUGAGAAAAUCAGGAAAGGCUGAAGAUCUAUCGUUGUGUGGUUUUAAAAGCUGUGGCAGCCAGCCUCCCAGAUGGCCUCUCCUGAUAACCACUUCUGGUCUUCGCACCCUUUUGUAGUCGCCUGUCUCCCUCACUCAGGGCAGCGCCCAUGACUAACAGGACAUGGUGAAUGGGUGACUUGCAAGGUUAAAUCAUAAAAGCUCUGCAGCCUCUGCCUUGACCAUGUGGAGCAAAGCCAGCUGCCAUGCUGUGAAGACACUCAGCAGCCCUGCUAGAGAGGCUCAGGCAGAGAAAAGACAAAGCCACCUUCCUCACACCCACAUGAACUAGCCAGCCAUGUGAAUGAGCCACCUGAGAAGUGGGUCCACCAGCCAACGUGUCAGAUGACAGCUGCUAUCACAUUCUGAUUGCACCUAACCAGGACUCUGAGCUUGCAAAUGCCCAGCCAAGAUGCUCCAAGCUCCUGACCCACAAAUACCGUGAAGAGGAGCCCUGACUUUUGUUGCUCUAAGCCAUUAUAUUUAAUCCUGGGUGAUUUAUUAUAGAAACAAUUAUAAAAAGGAAGGGAAAAUGCCUUUCAACAGUGCCACAGAGGCGUUGGACUUGCCUAUCUUUUGACACAACCCUGACAGUGUUAGAAGCAGUGGGCAGGGGGAGGGAAGGUGGGACAGGGAACCUUGACUGAGAAGUUGAAGAGUUCAUAAGGGCAUGCAGGGGCUUGGCCAAGGGAGGACACAGUGAGCACGCUCAGUGCCAGGAUGAAUAGGGUGCAAGUCAAGGAGGGUGAGGGUAAUCAUCCACCUCUAAAGGGGGAGUAAUAAGUUGGGGAGCUUUGCAGAGACUCCUGGUCUUUUUGAGAGGCUAGGAGAAACCGUGAACAGUCUUGGGACACAUUCAGUGACUAAGCCCCAAGCUUCUCCAUGCUGCUGUGACCCACACCCUAGACACUGCCUUGGAGCGGGUGCCCCCUUCCACGUGCUAGAGGCAGUGGGGCCCUUCGUCUCAGCUUUCAUGGUGUCAGUUAUACAGGGGAAAGCUGAGGGAGAGCAGUACUGCAGGCUGUCAGGUGCUCAGAGAGCUUCUGGGAAAGGGGGUCACGGUUCUUGUCUUGGAGACACCAGCUGGGGAGGCAAGUGUACUGAUGCACAAUGGCACAGAAGUGUGCACACACAGUCAGGGAGGGGUGGUGAGGAAGGCUUCGUGCAGGAGGAGCUGCAAGAUUUCACCGAUGAAGUAGGGAUGGACAGACAGACACCAAGUUAUAGCAGUUUCCAAGCUCCUGGUCUGGUGCUCUGCACCCCACCCACUAGUACAUGACCUGGAGCAACUCAUUCAUACCUCUCUGGUUUGCUGGGGGCUCAGCUGUGAAAUGGCUUGGCCUAAAUCUAUCCUGCUAAAGGGGUCACAGCAUCAGCCAUCAGGAGCUUUGACUACAACUGAUAUUCUCUUAAGUGUGGGAAAUUUGAGCAGAAUGUUGCAAAUACUAUUUCGCAGGUGAGACUAUGUCACUGUGUUACCUGUGACUACUAUGUCUCAGCCUCAGUUUCUUUAAUAUGUCUCAGGAAACUGGAGAUAAUGUCUAACUUGCAGAUAUUUUCUCCUAAAUUAUGAACAUGUUAGGCAGUAAUGGGUGCCUCCAAAUAGGAACUAGCAUUAUUUCUAGCACUAUUCCUCGUCUGCAGAUGGGUCUUCCCAAUGGGCAGAGCUGGAUCCUUUGUGGGCUGGAAAGGGAUCUCAGGUGAAUGGCUCUCCCCUGUUCCAACAGCAGAUAAGGGAUGAGGAGGGCUGGGGGAGGGUCCAACAAGGGUUCAUCAAUGGUAGUGAAAGGAAUUUGGAUCUGAUACUUGGAUUUGAAUCUGGAUCUGUACAGAGAAGACUGUGUGCCCUUGGGCAUGACAUUUACCUUCCUUGAGCCUCAAUGCUGUCACUUGUAAAACGUGGAUAAAUCUCUCCCUCCCAGGCUUUUGGUGAAGACUGCAGAUAAUGCAGGCAAAGCAAUUGGUGCUGAGGACAAGGGAGGUGGAAUUAUAAUCACAUCUAGAAAGCAGCUGAGCUGGCUCCACGCACUGCACUGUGCUGAUUUACUAGGCUCCAUGCAAUGCGCCACGCAGAGCUACUAGGCUCACGGUCACAGAUCAGCAAAGGAAAGGAUCUCGGAAAUGACCCAGUUCAGCUCCCAUACCUGGACAGAACGGGUGACACAGAGGCAUUAUCUGGAACCUGCAUGACUGUCUCCUGUAACUAUGAGGGAAGGAUUCAAGCCCUACCUGGAGGUUGGCCAGGAAGCCCAGAAAUUCCCCCAGCAGGUCCAGGUUUAGGGACAGAAGGCAGCAGGGCCAAGCCUCAUCCACAUAGGCUCAAAGGACUUCACCGGACUGUCCUCUUGUCCCUGCUACAGCUGACAUUUUGUCUUAUUUGACCCUUGCAAUAGCCUGUGAGAGCCUCCUCUCUGCAGAGGAGGGAAACUGAGACUCAGAACUCACUCAAGGCCACACCCCCGGUGGAUAAGUGUGGUCAGAGGGGCCCAAAGCCCCUUGACUCACUGGUCCAAGGCAAGGAGCCUGAGGUGCUGUGCUGGCAGGACCUACUGGUCCCCAAGUCCUGUGCUCAGGUCUUUAUCAUCUAUCGCCCAUCACCCAUCACACAAGGACUGGCCUGCAGCCAAGUAGGGGACUAGAAACAAGGGCUUGAGGCUGAGAAACAGCCUUAAACCAGAUGCCAGGGGGGAGUCGGCCCAGACAGUGGGCUUUCUGCGGGAGAACCUAAAAGAUUAAUCAAACAGCAAGAUCUCUCAGGAGCACAAGGGCACCGGAGAAGGCGGCCGGCACCGAGGUCUGGCGCCGGCAGAUGGACAAGAAAGCAUGUUGAUAAUUUAUUAAAGAUUCAGAGUUUUUACUGGAGAGAAGAGUUGUGAGCAGGAAAGUGUGGCUUGGGGGAGGUGCUCCACACUGGCUCCCUGAAACCAGGAGGAAGUGGGGGGGAGGGUAUUUGCAGUGUGGGAAACAGCAGUUCCUGAACAGCAUACUGCUGGUUUCUUAGUUUUAUUCUUUCCUUUUCCUUUUCCAAGAAAGACUCAGCAACAUCUCAAUUUCCCCAAGGUGGGGUGUAAUGUAUCUCCUGGAUGCUCAGCCUCUGGGGUGUCCAGUGUCACUGGCUUGAGCUUCCGGGGUGGUAUUUGAGAUCCAACCUCGAGGCCUGAUGGGGCAGGGGUGAGUCCCUCUCUCCUCUCCCCAUUUGCCAUCUCCUGCACCCAAAUAUGUGGCAACUUGGGUACAUUCAAAAGCUCAGGGACCAUCACUGUCAGUGAUUGCAGUAAUGUGUUUCUUAUUUUUUUCUUUUUAUCAGUACCGGGGAUCGAACUCACGACUGCCUGUUUGCAAGGCAGGUACUUAUGACACUGAGCUAAAUCCCCAGCCCCUAGUAAUGUGAUUAUGUAUACAAUGCCUUUUAUUUUAUUCCCCAAGCUUAUAAAAUACUACAGCAGCCUAUACGGAAGAUGAUUAUCAUGGCCACUUCCAUUUUAUCAAUAAGCAAUAAAGGCUCCGGGUGGUCCCACUGCUUGAUGGUCCUGGCAGGAGCCAGGGCUGGGGCUGGGACCCUGGCUCUCUGUCUAUAAGACACAUGGCCCUCCUGUCACUGCAUGCUAUCCCCAAACCUGAGAACAAGGCAUAACUUUCCUGGUUUACAGUGAUGACUAUAUCCACCCCAUAGAAUGUGUCUAAAUUCCUACCUGUUGAAGCCUCACUGCCAAGUACUGUACUGAGCUCCUGGCAUAUUUAAAGUUCACAAGAGUCCUGUGAGGUGGUCACUGCUUUACAGAGUCACUGCUGAGGAGACUGAGGACCACAGAGACUAAGUGGCCUCUGAAGCUCAUGAAGGAGUGUAGAGUCCAGGCCUGCUGGACCCAGGGUUAGAGCCCCGUACUGUAACACCCUCAUGUGAGCCCUGCCCUGCCGUUACCCAGGUCUACUACACAGGCUCCCUGUGGUACUGUGGCACCAAUGGGCCCAUGUUCAAAUUACAUUGCAGAGUAGCAAUUUCUACUGAGCUCUAGAAACCACAGGGACUUGCCCAGAGAGACAAGCUGCCACUCUUGAGUGGUGACAGAAAGAUGAGGAAACUGCUGGCUGAGACACUCAGGGGACAUUCUAACAGGGGCUCCCACAGAGUGUACUGGAGCCUUCAGGACAGGAAGAUGCAUCUCAGGGAAUGCGCUGGGUGGGCCAGUUCCUGAAGGUCUGUCCCUAAACAGAACGUGGGAUUUCCUCCCAGGUCCUGUACACCCAGAGCACACUGCAAAGGUCAAACCCAGGCUGAGGUCGUGGAUAAGUUAUCUCCUCCAUAUGCUCUAUUUCCCUAAACCCCAUAGCCAGUGAGGCAAAAGGAAGCACAGACCUAAGACAUCCAGGGGAGAUGAUCUUCCGGGGAGACAGUACCUUGUCCCCAAAGGAGUAGUACUCUGUAGAUUCCCCUACCCCUUCUGACUACAUCUCUCUCUGUGUUAAUAGCUCAGAAGAAGCCUCAAAUGAUUCUUCCACGUUCUCCCUUCCUUCUUGGCCAGACGUGUCCAACGUAACGCUGAUUUAUGUGCAAAAGAUAUGUAGAGGGAGCUCUUGGCUCAGUUCUUGGUUCUCCCAGGACAGGGGACAGUGAACUUGCUAUGCGCUUUCAGAAUCACAGACUACACUGUUUUGGAGCUGAGAACAUCUAAUCCAUCCCAGGCUCUGUUCUUAUAUAAGGAUACCUGCUCUCAGCUAGAAGAAAAUGGAAUAUGAAAAAAAAUAUAUAAAAUGCCAACUCUAUGACUGACCCCUAGGUUCGCAUGAACUCAUCUCUUCAGAAGAGAAAAACUAAGCAAUUUGACAACUGUAAAAUCAGAAAUUCCUUUUAAUCUCAUUUCAUGGGCAACACUGAUACACUGGAAGGCAUGAAAUUUUUAUUUCAUGUCAAUUUCACUGGGAUUUCACAUGCAGAUUAAUUUGUUCUUCCACAUAAACAUAUACUGCUCCAACUUCUUGCCUCAAUAGCCACCUUCUCUCACUCGUGUUAUAGAAUUCCUGUCUCUUACAAGACCCUAAAAGUAAUACUGAGAUUUGCUACCCCAUUACAAUGCCUCAUUCUAUAUUAUUAAAUUCUAGUACACUCAGAAAGCAAUAAGCAGGCUAGUGCAGGAAAGUAAACUUUUUUUUUCUUUUGGUACUGGGGAUCGAGCUUAUGACCUUGCACUUACCAGGCAGACACUUAUGCCACUGAGCUAAAUCCCUGGCCCUAGAAAGUAAACUUCUUAGAAAUUUAGUUGGGCACUGUGGUGGGCAGGUUGAAAGAUGGCUCAGAAUCCUCACCUUCUCUUGAGCAUGGAUGAGCCUGGUGACUUUCUUCUAAGGAACAGAAUAUGGCUAAAGUGGUGGAAUAUCACUAGUGCGUGGAACAGUACUAGAGAUUAAACACAGGGCUUUCACAUUGAACUAUAAUCACAACCCUUUUUAGUUUUGUUUUCUUGGUUUGUUUGUUUUUUAAUUCUGAAACAGGAUAUACUAAGUCACUAAGUUGCCAAGGUGGGGCUUGAAUUUGUGAUUCUCCUGCCUCAGCUUCCCAGAGUGUCACUUUUGUGAUUAGAUUGCACAAGACUGGCUUGCACACCUUGAUUAAGCAAGCUGCCACAUUGGCCAGCUUCCCCAUUCCCAUUCAAAGAACUGAAUCACACUGAAAGCCACAUGAGCAAGCUUGGAACAGGAUCUUCUCCCAUUCAGGCCCUAGGAUGAAUUUGGCUCCAAAUGAGUCCUUGAUAGGACAGACUCCUGUGCCAUGCCAGGGCUCCAAGCACAGAACUCACCUAUGCCAUGCCAGGGUUCCUGACCUACAGCAACCAUGAGAUGACAAAUGACGAAUUUUAAAGCACUAACUUGCUUAGGAUAACUUGCUUAUACACUAAUAAAUGAAAAGGACAGGCACUUAGGUACCUAAAAAUGUCCAGCAGAGUUUCUCACUCCUCUGGGUGAAAGGCAAUUCCCUUGGUACUAUACUUACCAAAAGAGCCAUGCAACCGAUCCCUAACUCCUAAUCCCCUCUUCUCCAUCACACUGUGGUCCCAGAGCCUCACGGGACCCUUUAUCUCCAUUCUGCUGGCCUCUAUUCACAAGAUGAUGACACUAAGGGGUCCUGGAGCUCCUAAUCCAGAGGGAAGUUACUACCUGAGUGAUUACUUUCUCAUUUCUCCCAAGGAUGUUAUCUGACUAGGGCCAUUCACAUGCAUAGGAAAGGAGUUGAUUUGUUUCACACAAUAGGUGUCCUGUGACUGUAGGGCUGAAGUUUCUUGCAGAAACCCAGUUAAGAAAGGUCAUCUUAGAAGCUACCACAGACAUUCCUCUCUUUCCAGAGCACCAUGUCAUGGCCAGGACACUUGGUCUCAGUGUGGGCCUAUUAAGGCCACCAUAUGCAAUCCCUUGCACCUAACCACCAUCACAGUUGUGGUUGAGUCUCUGUCAAAUGAACCAGCUCAGGGUCUGUGAUUCACUUCUUGCUUGGAAGUGAAUCUUCCUUGGAGAAUCCUUUCUGGACUUUUUUUCAGCUUUAGUAACAUGGGAUUUUUAAGAAAACCUACAACUUGACACUUUUAAACCACUUAUGCUGUUUGAUUAAUUGUAAGUUAUAGAUCAAAUGGUGGCCCCAGAAGUCAGUAAGUCUUUUCUUUUGGCAGUGUUAGAAUGCCCAUUGGGGUCUGUCCUGACAAACUAGGACUAGGAAAGGGGUACAUUAUGUGAGACUAUACUGUCCAGUUUUUCUUAAAAAUUCAAUCUCUGGGUCUUACUUUUGGACUGCCAUCAGCUUGAGGACACUCCUCCUUGCCUUCCAACAAAGUCCUAGGUAGCUGCAAUGAACUGCAAGGACAGCUGAGUCUCCUCCAUGGGUGAUGUCUAUGCAUACUUGGUGAAAAACUAAAAAAGGUUCAAAUAAGUUUGGUAAAUGAGAAAUACUAGAUAAAUAUUGCAUUAGCACCCUUUUUGAUGAUUCACCACUGCACGAGCCUGUUAAAGGUUUUAAGAGUUCUUCUAGCCUACUAUUUACCAAACGUCCAUCUCAAAACCUGCCCUAUCCUUUUCUCUAAACUUUUUUCUUCUUUCUAGAACACAAUCCUUCAUACUGCAUGAGAACUCAAAUACUUACUGCGAUAUUACACAUUUAGUGAAAUAAUACAUAUUCUACCAGACAGAACCAUGAUUAGAGAAGACGGGCACCAGUUGCUUCCUUUUUUAUACAUGAGGUAAACCAGGGGCCAGCACAGCGAACUGCCUGCCCAAGGCCAACUUCUAGCAGCAGAGCUAAACUCUCUUUGAUCUUAGCAAAUGAACUCACUCAGUUUCCUUGAGGCACUCGGACAAAGAGGCCCCAGCUUCCAGACCCAGCCCACCCAACAUGAUGAGCCAUCACUGCAUUCAUGUGGCCUCUGCCUGCCACAAUACUCCAAGCAAGGACUCUAUAGCUUCUCCAUAUUGUCACAUCUAUUAGAAAUUGUGUGGCCUUUAUCUUUGCAUUAACAGCCCCACAUUUCAUGAAGUGCUCAGCUCAGUCUCUGACCCUGGUGAGGUAAUCCAGCACAGCCAGCCUCUUCUUAGGCUCUUUUGGAUUUUCCUUAUCUUCCCUCAUCCUAAAUUCUGUUAUUCCCACCACUAUCUCCUAGGUCAUUCUCUCUCAGUCCUUCUUCUUUCUGGAUCAUCUUACUUGUCUCCAAAGCUUCAGUUUCCCCAUGUGCUUGCUAAUGACCCCAGCGCUGAAGCGCAUCUGGAUGAACAUUUUCUCCUGAAUGUACCUAUGAAUGAUUUCUUCACCCGUCUUCUGCUUCUGUGUCUGCAGUUAGCACCCAAGACUGCUAACUGCUGACCCUCUGAGGAUGUUUCUCUACAUUCCCAACAUGUCUUUUCUAAAUAAUUGCAGCAACUUCCUAACUAGCUUUAUCCCUUUCCAAUCUAUGCUGGGCACUGUAGCUAGCAUGAUUUCUCUAAAACUGCGUCUUUUAUACCUUUCAAGUCUGCUGAACCGAUCACAAAACAAAGUUGAGAUUCCUAGUCAUGGCUUAGACUAAAAGGCCCUUUUCCCCCCGGCCUGCCAUUCCCUCUAAACUCUAGCCACAUUCUGCUUGACUUGCUCUUUGUCUCUUCUGGAUUCGGUAGGUAUCAUCUCUUUCCCAUGUAUCCCUGUGAUGGCUAAUCUUAAUUUUCAACUUGAAUGGGUUGAAAGUCACCCAGGAAAUUAGUAAUGCAUGCUCCUGGGUCUGUGUGGGGGAGCCCUGGGUCUGGAGAAGGCGUCUGGUCCCUGGCCCCUUCCUCUUGGAUUGUUCUUCCCUGUUCUGUGAUUCUUGUCUGUCAUGAGUUGGGCAGCUUUCUUCUGCCAUGCCAUUGGAUCUAGCUAAGCAUGGAAUAAAACCUCUGAAAUUGUGAGUUAAAAUAAACCUUUUCCCCUUUAAGUGGUGCAUGUCAGGUAUUUUGGUCACAGUGAUGGAGAAUAUACUAAUACAGCCUGAAAUACGCUCUCUGAAACCUAGCUAUUUUUUCCACUUCUAACUUUGACUUAGAAGUUACAUCCCAUGGGGAGCAUUUCUUGACCUCCCAAGGCCUUUCCAGUGCACCUCUUUGGGCUAUGCAUUCACUCCACUACUGCAAUGUAUUACCCACUGCUGGAAAAUCACUUUUCUGUCUUCUCUACUGACUGCUGCUACAAUGAAAGCAAAGACUUAUUUAUAGUUUUAACCCCAGUGUCUACGUCGGUGACUAAACACAGGAGACACAUGACAGACAUCUGAAGAAUGAACGGAUGGAUAAAUGGGCCAGAAUCAGGUGAGGUUUCCAUGAGACAGAAGGGACAAACUCCUUGGCCAAGGUAUUGGCAACGCAAGCACAAGGGCGCUGUAGUUAGCAAAAAUCAAGGUCCAGAAUGCAGUAAAAAGAAGUUUAGACAAAUAAGUAGAGCAGAAGAAGAGCCUAGAAGCUGAUUUAGGGAGAAAGGGUGGGGGAGCACAGGGAAAUCUGGCCUAAGGUGGUGCUAGGAUGACAUUCUGGAUUAUGUUUGGUGUCUUUGGAGUGAUUUUAACUUCUGUUACUCCAGAAAUAUUCAGCUAAGUUUAAAAGCUUGCAUGCUUUUCUUCUUUACCAAAGUCCUGUGAAAGAUGAGCAGCACCUCCCAACUAGUCAGAAGGGCUAAAUCUCAUUUGACUAUGGCUCAGAGACUUCCACACAGGCACUCCUACACGGCAGCCCCUGGCCUCAUGUUGCUACUGAGCAUUUGCAGUAUGUCCAGACUUAAUGGAGAUAGACAGUAGGUGUAAACUGUAUGCAAGAUUUCAUGGACUUUGUAUGGCAAGGAAUGUAAAAUAUUUCACAAGUCUGUUUUCACACUAAUUACAUGUGGAAAUGAUAAUAUUCAGAUAUAUUGGAGUAAUCAAGAUAGAUCAUUACAUUUUACUUGCUUCUUUGGGUUUUUUUAAAACACGGUUUCUAGAAAAUUUUUAGUAUCUCUGCUGGACAUCAUUGUCCUACAGGGGUUACUUAACUUUAAUUUGCAUAUUAUUCAAUUUAAAAUGUCAACUUCAGUGUUAGACAAUGGUCUCCACGUGUUGGAUUCUUUUGCAUGAAUAAAACAAAAAUGUUAUAGAA
Molecule: long non-coding RNA, 10270 nt
Organism: Cavia porcellus (domestic guinea pig)
Lineage: Eukaryota; Metazoa; Chordata; Mammalia; Rodentia; Caviidae
Exons: 3
Source: RefSeq, a predicted model, not a curated record